Long non-coding RNA from Oncorhynchus tshawytscha (Chinook salmon), 375 nucleotides. NCBI's taxonomy places the organism in Eukaryota, Metazoa, Chordata, Actinopteri, Salmoniformes, Salmonidae. The record is from Ensembl.
GAGAGAGAGAGACAGUGAGAGAGAGAGAGAGAGAGACAGUGAGAGAGAGAGAGAGACAGAGAGAGAGACAGUGAGAGAGAGAGAGAGAGAGACAGUGAGAGAGAGAGAGAGAGAGACAGUGAGAGAGACAGAGAGAGAGAGAGAGACAGUGAGACAGAGAGAGAGAGAGAGACAGUGAGAGAGAGAGAGACAGUGAGAGAGAGAGAGGUGAGUGAGACACAGUGAGUGAGAGAGCGAGAGAGAGGUGAGUGAGACAGUGAGUGAGAGAGAGACAGUGAGAGAGAGAGAGAGAGAGAGAGAGACAGUGAGAGAGAGAGAGAGAGAGAGAGACAGUGAGAGAGAGACAGUGAGAGAGAGAGAGAGACAGUGAGAGAG